GACGAACGCUGGCGGCGUGCCUAAUACAUGCAAGUUGAGCGCUGAAGGUUGGUACUUGUACCAACUGGAUGAGCAGCGAACGGGUGAGUAACGCGUGGGGAAUCUGCCUUUGAGCGGGGGACAACAUUUGGAAACGAAUGCUAAUACCGCAUAAAAACUUUAAACACAAGUUUUAAGUUUGAAAGAUGCAAUUGCAUCACUCAAAGAUGAUCCCGCGUUGUAUUAGCUAGUUGGUGAGGUAAAGGCUCACCAAGGCGAUGAUACAUAGCCGACCUGAGAGGGUGGUCGGCCACAUUGGGACUGAGACACGGCCCAAACGCCUACGGGAGGCAGCAGUAGGGAAUCUUCGGCAAUGGACGAAAGUCUGACCGAGCAACGCCGCGUGAGUGAAGAAGGUUUUCGGAUCGUAAAACUCUGUUGGUAGAGAAGAACGUUGGUGAGAGUGGAAAGCUCAUCAAGUGACGGUAACUACCCAGAAAGGGACGGCUAACUACGUG
RNAcentral lists this ribosomal RNA (497 nucleotides) under uncultured bacterium. RNAcentral describes it as "partial 16S ribosomal RNA". It matches the Rfam family "Bacterial small subunit ribosomal RNA", at positions 28 to 507 of the family's 1533-position model. The record is from RNAcentral.